GCCGGGCGUGGUGGCUCACGCCUGUAGUCCCAGCGCUUUGGGAGGCCGAGGUGGGUGGAUCACCUGAGGUCAGGAGUUUGAGACCAGCCUGGCCAACAUGGUGAAACCCCGUCUCUA
RNAcentral lists this non-coding RNA (117 nucleotides) under Homo sapiens (human). The record is from Rfam by way of RNAcentral. Lineage: Eukaryota; Metazoa; Chordata; Mammalia; Primates; Hominidae.